UUUGGCAAGCAUGCAAUAUGGAGAUUGGGGAAGAAACAGUAAAAUUCAGGGUGGGAGUGCUGCAUGUUAUAACUGAGGACAGAUGUGGUCUCAUGGAAAUGCUUGUAGUAUACAUAAAGAAGGCAUCACACAUCCUUGAAUUAAUAGGAAUAUAUAUUCUAAUUAAUUGACAGCAAGAGCUGUUGAUAGAAUGAAAGAAUAGAUCUCAAGCUCCCUAAGCAAGCACCCAGACACAGCCAAAUAAAUUGCUGAGACUCUGUCUUUAUAUAACAUAUGAUGCAGUGUUGCAGUAAUCAGCCUAUGUUUUCCUGU
RNAcentral lists this long non-coding RNA (312 nucleotides) under Homo sapiens (human). Its description in RNAcentral is "HSALNT0218564". The record is from RNAcentral. Lineage: Eukaryota; Metazoa; Chordata; Mammalia; Primates; Hominidae.